CUACGGGGGGCUGCAGCAGGGAAUAUUGCACAAUGGGCGAAAGCCUGAUGCAGCGACGCCGCGUGCGGGAUGAAGGCCUUCGGGUUGUAAACCGCUUUCAGGAGGGACGAAAAUGACGGUACCUCCAGAAGAAGGCCCGGCCAACUACGUGCCAGCAGCCGCGGUAAUACGUAGGGGCCAAGCGUUGCCCGGAUUUAUUGGGCGUAAAGGGCUCGUAGGCGGUUUGACAAGUCGGUCGUGAAAGCCCGGGGCUCAACCCCGGGACGCCGGUCGAAACUGUCAUGACUAGGGUCCGGUAGAGGUGAGUGGAAUUCUCGGUGUAGCGGUGGAAUGCGCAGAUAUCGAGAGGAACACCAGUAGCGAAGGCGGCUCACUGGGCCGGUACCGACGCUGAGGAGCGAAAGCGUGGGGAGCAAACAGGAUUAGAUACCCGCGUAGUC
This 440-nucleotide ribosomal RNA is filed under the name uncultured bacterium. Its description in RNAcentral is "partial 16S ribosomal RNA". It matches the Rfam family "Bacterial small subunit ribosomal RNA", at positions 339 to 795 of the family's 1533-position model. The record is from RNAcentral.